Molecule: small nucleolar RNA, 135 nt
Filed under: Balaenoptera musculus (blue whale)
Lineage: Eukaryota; Metazoa; Chordata; Mammalia; Artiodactyla; Balaenopteridae
Description: Small nucleolar RNA SNORA70 (ENSBMSG00010019906.1)
Rfam family: Small nucleolar RNA SNORA70
About the family: snoRNA U70 seems to be exclusive to mammals and is a member of the H/ACA class of snoRNA which contain H (ANANNA) and ACA box motifs. H/ACA box snoRNAs are involved in the conversion of uridines to pseudouridines (5-ribosyluracil) a constituent of structural RNAs (transfer, ribosomal, small nuclear, and small nucleolar).
Source: Rfam by way of RNAcentral
UUGCAGCCAAUUAAGCCAACCGUGCUCCUUUCCCUGUGGGGGCCCGGUGUGCAAUGGCUGCAGACAGCAGCCUCCUCGGUGGUACGUGCAGCCUGUUGCCUGUACAGGUUGCCCUCAGGGACGCUGGAUUCGGCC